Molecule: long non-coding RNA, 1185 nt
Filed under: Cricetulus griseus (Chinese hamster)
Lineage: Eukaryota; Metazoa; Chordata; Mammalia; Rodentia; Cricetidae
Description: lncRNA (ENSCGRG00015032228.1)
Source: RNAcentral
CUGUGUUCUCGUGGAAGGUGUGAAAGAUUGCAAACCCUUCCUUUCAACUGUCCACUCCUACAAAGAAUGGAUACUCAGACGUGCCAUCCUUCCUUCCGUGCACAACAGCUGAAUGCAACAGACAUGGCAUCUGGGAGGCUGUUGAGUCCACAGUACCUAGAUCACAACUUUAGAUACUAGAUGAUACUAGAAGAGGCCUUCUUGGUUCAGUCAGGAGAAUGAAUGGCAUGUGGCUCUACCCUGUGAUCUCAAUAUAGUGACAGGAUCACCUGCUUCCUUGUCAUGAACAUCAACAGUUAGACCUCUGCUCUCCUUCUCUAGCCCACCCAAGGAGAUAUUCUUCUGGCCAUAUCAUUAAAGCAUUAUUUUCUAUGGACCAACGAGCAACUACUCCAAAUAUUGUAAAGGAACAAAACUAUACCAAUUGCCGACACUAUCCACAGGUUUUUACUGAUGCUUUUUGAUUGGAAGAAGAAACCUUAUAUUUAUGUCUAAGAAAAUGAAUGAAAGAAUGGACCCAGCUCAACAAAAAUAAGUCAUUAUUCAUGGAAUAGAUAUGAACAAUUGCUGAUCAGGAUGGAGUUCUUCCAGAACAGUCUAUGGAAAUGUCUAUACAAUCUAUGAGAUUCCCAGGGUUUUGAGUUGUUGGAUCUCAGUGAUGACCAAUAUGGGAGAAAGAUGGAAUUACUUGCUAACUUUAGAAAAAGAUGAGCACGAAUGAUCAACUUUGACACAAGGUGGCAGAGAUUAAAAUCAAUGUGCUUGAGAAACAACCACAACAGAAAUACCAGCUGCCUUUUGAAAACAAGGGCAUUGGGGAAUGAAUGGGAUUGCAUGUUUCUUCUGUUCUGUGUUCAAGAGCUUCGAUGGCUACUGUGUUACAUCAGGAAUGGCCAGUGGCUGGACCCCACCCUCCCCCACUCCCUUUUAAUUCAAUGACUACGUGGGGGCUUCUUUGAUGGAGGCUUUGAAGUCGGUGGCUUUGAGAUUACUCUUCCUCUGUGACCUUGACCACCAGCCAUGAGCUCUGCCCCCUCUGAUUUCACGCUCACACAUUAACGAGAGCUGACACUGGAGAUUAGACGCAGACAGCUGGAAUGCCAGGGCUUUGUUGCGGCAUGGACUGCAGCCAACGUCGUUCAACCACAGCCAAGAGGGACCUGGGAAAGUCUUCUUAAGAAGGAG